RNAcentral lists this ribosomal RNA (253 nucleotides) under uncultured bacterium. RNAcentral's name for it is "partial 16S ribosomal RNA". It matches the Rfam family "Bacterial small subunit ribosomal RNA", at positions 524 to 776 of the family's 1533-position model. The record is from RNAcentral.
UACGUAGGGACCGAGCGUUGUCCGGAUUUAUUGGGCGUAAAGAGCUCGUAGGCGGCUCUUCGCGUCGGAUGUGAAAGCUCAGGGCUCAACCCUGAGAGGCCAUUCGAUACGGGAGAGCUAGAGGUAGGUAGGGGAAAGUGGAAUUCCUGGUGUAGCGGUGAAAUGCGUAGAUAUCUGGAGGAACACCGGUGGCGAAGGCGGCAUCCUGGGCCGGUAUUGACGCUGAGGAGCGAAAGCCAGGGGAGCAAACGGG